RNAcentral lists this ribosomal RNA (490 nucleotides) under uncultured bacterium. RNAcentral describes it as "partial 16S ribosomal RNA". It matches the Rfam family "Bacterial small subunit ribosomal RNA", at positions 30 to 507 of the family's 1533-position model. The record is from RNAcentral.
AUUGAACGCUGGCGGCAGGCCUAACACAUGCAAGUCGAACGGUAACAGGAAGAAGCUUGCUUCUUUGCUGACGAGUGGCGGACGGGUGAGUAAUGUCUGGGAAACUGCCUGAUGGAGGGGGAUAACUACUGGAAACGGUAGCUAAUACCGCAUAACGUCGCAAGACCAAAGAGGGGGACCUUCGGGCCUCUUGCCAUCGGAUGUGCCCAGAUGGGAUUAGCUAGUAGGUGGGGUAACGACUCACCUAGGCGACGAUCCCUAGCUGGUCUGAGAGGAUGACCAGCCACACUGGAACUGAGACACGGUCCAGACUCCUACGGGAGGCAGCAGUGGGGAAUAUUGCACAAUGGGCGCAAGCCUGAUGCAGCCAUGCCGCGUGUAUGAAGAAGGCCUUCGGGUUGUAAAGUACUUUCAGCGGGGAGGAAGGGAGUAAAGUUAAUACCUUUACUCAUUGACGUUACCCGCAGAAGAAGCACCGGCUAACUCCGUG